Molecule: transfer RNA, 72 nt
Filed under: Danionella translucida
Lineage: Eukaryota; Metazoa; Chordata; Actinopteri; Cypriniformes; Danionidae
Also listed under: 1 other name
Rfam family: tRNA
About the family: Transfer RNA (tRNA) molecules are approximately 80 nucleotides in length.
Source: Rfam by way of RNAcentral
GGCUCGUUGGUCUAGGGGUAUGAUUCUCGCUUUGGGUGUGAGAGGUCCUGGGUUCAAAUCCUGGACAAGCCC